AUACUCCCUCCGUCCGCCAAAAGUGGACCACUUUGGCUGGGCACGGUAUUUAAUAAAAUUGGUGAUAAUUUUGAUGUAGUGGAGAAAGGGUCCCACCACUUUAUGAGAUGUGUGGUUGAGAUUGAAUUUGAGGUGGUUUUUUUGUAAAUAAAGAGUGUUUGUAAGGAUAAAAGAUUAAAGUGGAUGGUGGGACCAUUUCCAUAAAAGGAAAGUGGUAUACUCUUUGCGGACGCCCGAUUUAGUAAAA
RNAcentral lists this long non-coding RNA (247 nucleotides) under Salvia miltiorrhiza (redroot sage). RNAcentral's name for it is "long non-coding RNA (SMIL_LNC012022)". The record is from RNAcentral. Lineage: Eukaryota; Viridiplantae; Streptophyta; Magnoliopsida; Lamiales; Lamiaceae.